AAAAGGUGGGAAGAUAUUGUUCGCGAAGCUUUAAUUUCAUCUCGUCCCAUAGAGUCACAGGCGACUGUCCAAAUUGAUAUAGUUGCUCCUCCACCGAAUUCCAAUAUUGUCUAGCGGCUCCCUGUAGCGUCAUCUUACCAAUGCGAAGUUUAUGAGCAUCUGUCAAGUUGUACCAGGCGAAAUAAUCUUCCAUGGCUUGAACCCAGUCAAGAAACAUCAUAGGAUCCCCACGACCAUCAAAAGUAGGAGCGGUAGG
RNAcentral lists this long non-coding RNA (256 nucleotides) under Prunus persica (peach). Its description in RNAcentral is "long non-coding RNA (PPER_LNC000260)". Lineage: Eukaryota; Viridiplantae; Streptophyta; Magnoliopsida; Rosales; Rosaceae. The record is from RNAcentral.